GGAUGAAGAACGCAGCGAAAUGCGAUACGUAAUGUGAAUUGCAGAAUUCAGUGAAUCAUCGAGUCUUUGAACGCACAUUGCGCCCCCUGGUAUUCCGGGGGGCAUGCCUGUCCGAGCGUCAUUGCUGCCCUCAAGCACGGCUUGUGUGUUGGGCCUCCGUCCUCCUCCCGGGGGACGGGCCCGAAAGGCAGCGGCGGCACCGCGUCCGGUCCUCGAGCGUAUGGGGCUUCGUCACCCGCUCUUGUAGGCCCGGCCGGCGCUUGCCGACACAUCAAUCUUUUUUCCAGGUUGACCUCGGAUCAGGUAGGGAUACCCGCUGAACUUAAGCAUAUCAAUAAGCGGAGGA
This 346-nucleotide unclassified non-coding RNA is filed under the name soil metagenome. RNAcentral's name for it is "partial contains 5.8S ribosomal RNA, internal transcribed spacer 2, and large subunit ribosomal RNA". The stretch from base 2 to 121 matches the Rfam family "5.8S ribosomal RNA", at positions 35 to 154 of the family's 154-position model. The record is from RNAcentral.